Molecule: unclassified non-coding RNA, 533 nt
Filed under: 'Cocos nucifera' phytoplasma
Lineage: Bacteria; Bacillati; Mycoplasmatota; Mollicutes; Acholeplasmatales; Acholeplasmataceae
Description: partial contains 16S ribosomal RNA, 16S-23S ribosomal RNA intergenic spacer, and 23S ribosomal RNA
Rfam family: Bacterial small subunit ribosomal RNA (bases 1-239)
Source: RNAcentral
UGAAGUCGAGUUGCAGACUUCAUGAAGUUGGAAUCGCUAGUAAUCGCGAAUCAGCAUGUCGCGGUGAAUACGUUCUCGGGGUUUGUACACACCGCCCGUCAAACCACGAAAGUUGACAAUACCCAAAAACGGUAGCCUAACUACGCAAGUAGAGGGAUCCGUCUAAGGUAGGGUUGAUGAUUGGGGUUAAGUCGUAACAAGGUAUCCCUACCGGAAGGUGGGGAUGGAUCACCUCCUUUCUAAGGAAGUUAAAAUCAUCAUCUUCAGUUUUGAAAGACUUAGAGAAUGAUAAAUUUUUUUGUAAGUUUUUCUUUUUUUAAGAAGAAGGGCCUAUAGCUCAGUUGGUUAGAGCACACGCCUGAUAAGCGUGAGGUCGGUGGUUCAAGUCCAUUUAGGCCCACCAAUCUAAUAUAUAUGGCACCUUCUUAAAAAAAAGUUCUUUGAAAAGUAGAUAAAUAAGGCAACGAAUCAAAAAGCGAAGGAAAUAAGGGCGUACAGUGGAUGCCUUGGCACUAAGAGCCGAUGAAGGACGA